This 2987-nucleotide ribosomal RNA is filed under the name Salmonella enterica subsp. enterica. RNAcentral describes it as "23S ribosomal RNA". It matches the Rfam family "Bacterial large subunit ribosomal RNA". The record is from RNAcentral. RNAcentral also lists the same sequence under 1 other name. Lineage: Bacteria; Pseudomonadati; Pseudomonadota; Gammaproteobacteria; Enterobacterales; Enterobacteriaceae.
GGUUAAGCGACUAAGCGUACACGGUGGAUGCCCUGGCAGUCAGAGGCGAUGAAGGGCGUGCUAAUCUGCGAUAAGCGCCGGUAAGGUGAUAUGAACCGUUAUAACCGGCGAUACCCGAAUGGGGAAACCCAGUGUGAUUCGUCACACUAUCAUUAACUGAAUCCAUAGGUUAAUGAGGCGAACCGGGGGAACUGAAACAUCUAAGUACCCCGAGGAAAAGAAAUCAACCGAGAUUCCCCCAGUAGCGGCGAGCGAACGGGGAGGAGCCCAGAGCCUGAAUCAGCAUGUGUGUUAGUGGAAGCGUCUGGAAAGGCGCGCGAUACAGGGUGACAGCCCCGUACACAAAAGCGCAUGUGCUGUGAGCUCGAUGAGUAGGGCGGGACACGUGGUAUCCUGUCUGAAUAUGGGGGGACCAUCCUCCAAGGCUAAAUACUCCUGACUGACCGAUAGUGAACCAGUACCGUGAGGGAAAGGCGAAAAGAACCCCGGCGAGGGGAGUGAAAAAGAACCUGAAACCGUGUACGUACAAGCAGUGGGAGCACAGGUUUACCUGUGUGACUGCGUACCUUUUGUAUAAUGGGUCAGCGACUUAUAUUCUGUAGCAAGGUUAACCGAAUAGGGGAGCCGGAGGGAAACCGAGUCUUAAUUGGGCGUUAAGUUGCAGGGUAUAGACCCGAAACCCGGUGAUCUAGCCAUGGGCAGGUUGAAGGUUGGGUAACACUAACUGGAGGACCGAACCGACUAAUGUUGAAAAAUUAGCGGAUGACCUGUGGCUGGGGGUGAAAGGCCAAUCAAACCGGGAGAUAGCUGGUUCUCCCCGAAAGCUAUUUAGGUAGCGCCUCGUGAAUUCAUCUCCGGGGGUAGAGCACUGUUUCGGCUAGGGGGCCAUCCCGGCUUACCAACCCGAUGCAAACUGCGAAUACCGGAGAAUGUUAUCACGGGAGACACACGGCGGGUGCUAACGUCCGUCGUGAAGAGGGAAACAACCCAGACCGCCAGCUAAGGUCCCAAAGUCAUGGUUAAGUGGGAAACGAUGUGGGAAGGCCCAGACAGCCAGGAUGUUGGCUUAGAAGCAGCCAUCAUUUAAAGAAAGCGUAAUAGCUCACUGGUCGAGUCGGCCUGCGCGGAAGAUGUAACGGGGCUAAACCAUGCACCGAAGCUGCGGCAGCGAACGUAUCACUUAAAGCGAUUCAGCGGGUUACGAUUGACGGAGCGAAGCGACGUCAAAGCGUAUACAAAGUCGAGUCGGUUUAAGGAUACGUUCGUUGGGUAGGGGAGCGUUCUGUAAGCCUGUGAAGGUGGCCUGUGAGGGUUGCUGGAGGUAUCAGAAGUGCGAAUGCUGACAUAAGUAACGAUAAAGCGGGUGAAAAGCCCGCUCGCCGGAAGACCAAGGGUUCCUGUCCAACGUUAAUCGGGGCAGGGUGAGUCGACCCCUAAGGCGAGGCCGAAAGGCGUAGUCGAUGGGAAACGGGUUAAUAUUCCCGUACUUGGUGUUACUGCGAAGGGGGGACGGAGAAGGCUAUGUUGGCCGGGCGACGGUUGUCCCGGUUUAAGCGUGUAGGCUGGUUUUCCAGGCAAAUCCGGAAAAUCAAGGCUGAGGCGUGAUGACGAGGCACUACGGUGCUGAAGCAACAAAUGCCCUGCUUCCAGGAAAAGCCUCUAAGCAUCAGGUAACAUCAAAUCGUACCCCAAACCGACACAGGUGGUCAGGUAGAGAAUACCAAGGCGCUUGAGAGAACUCGGGUGAAGGAACUAGGCAAAAUGGUGCCGUAACUUCGGGAGAAGGCACGCUGACACGUAGGUGAAGUGAUUUACUCAUGGAGCUGAAGUCAGUCGAAGAUACCAGCUGGCUGCAACUGUUUAUUAAAAACACAGCACUGUGCAAACACGAAAGUGGACGUAUACGGUGUGACGCCUGCCCGGUGCCGGAAGGUUAAUUGAUGGGGUCAGCGCAAGCGAAGCUCCUGAUCGAAGCCCCGGUAAACGGCGGCCGUAACUAUAACGGUCCUAAGGUAGCGAAAUUCCUUGUCGGGUAAGUUCCGACCUGCACGAAUGGCGUAAUGAUGGCCAGGCUGUCUCCACCCGAGACUCAGUGAAAUUGAACUCGCUGUGAAGAUGCAGUGUACCCGCGGCAAGACGGAAAGACCCCGUGAACCUUUACUAUAGCUUGACACUGAACAUUGAGCCUUGAUGUGUAGGAUAGGUGGGAGGCUUUGAAGUGUGGACGCCAGUCUGCAUGGAGCCGACCUUGAAAUACCACCCUUUAAUGUUUGAUGUUCUAACGUGGACCCGUAAUCCGGGUUGCGGACAGUGUCUGGUGGGUAGUUUGACUGGGGCGGUCUCCUCCUAAAGAGUAACGGAGGAGCACGAAGGUUGGCUAAUCCUGGUCGGACAUCAGGAGGUUAGUGCAAUGGCAUAAGCCAGCUUGACUGCGAGCGUGACGGCGCGAGCAGGUGCGAAAGCAGGUCAUAGUGAUCCGGUGGUUCUGAAUGGAAGGGCCAUCGCUCAACGGAUAAAAGGUACUCCGGGGAUAACAGGCUGAUACCGCCCAAGAGUUCAUAUCGACGGCGGUGUUUGGCACCUCGAUGUCGGCUCAUCACAUCCUGGGGCUGAAGUAGGUCCCAAGGGUAUGGCUGUUCGCCAUUUAAAGUGGUACGCGAGCUGGGUUUAGAACGUCGUGAGACAGUUCGGUCCCUAUCUGCCGUGGGCGCUGGAGAACUGAGGGGGGCUGCUCCUAGUACGAGAGGACCGGAGUGGACGCAUCACUGGUGUUCGGGUUGUCAUGCCAAUGGCACUGCCCGGUAGCUAAAUGCGGAAGAGAUAAGUGCUGAAAGCAUCUAAGCACGAAACUUGCCCCGAGAUGAGUUCUCCCUGAGACUUAGAGUCUCCUGAAGGAACGUUGAAGACGACGACGUUGAUAGGCCGGGUGUGUAAGCGCAGCGAUGCGUUGAGCUAACCGGUACUAAUGAACCGUGAGGCUUAACCUU